UACGAGGGGAGCAAGCGUUGUUCGGAAUCAUUGGGCGUAAAGGGCGCGUAGGCGGCCUGUGCAAGUCUGGGGUGAAAGCCCUCGGCUCAACCGAGGAAUGGCCUUGGAUACUGCACGGCUUGAGUAUUGGAGAGGAAAGCGGAAUUCCCAGUGUAGCGGUGAAAUGCGUAGAUAUUGGGAGGAACACCGGUGGCGAAGGCGGCUUUCUGGACAAUCACUGACGCUGAGGCGCGAAAGCCAGGGGAGCAAACGGG
Molecule: ribosomal RNA, 254 nt
Filed under: uncultured Acidobacteriota bacterium
Lineage: Bacteria; Pseudomonadati; Acidobacteriota
Description: uncultured Acidobacteria bacterium partial 16S ribosomal RNA
Rfam family: Bacterial small subunit ribosomal RNA
Source: RNAcentral